This 380-nucleotide ribosomal RNA is filed under the name uncultured eukaryote. RNAcentral's name for it is "partial 18S ribosomal RNA". It matches the Rfam family "Eukaryotic small subunit ribosomal RNA", at positions 592 to 976 of the family's 1831-position model. The record is from RNAcentral.
CAAUAGCGUAUAUUAAAGUUGUUGCAGUUAAAAAGCUCGUAGUUGGAUUUGUGGCGUACGGUGUGUUCCGGGCACUUGUUGUCUGAGUAACCUGCUGUUGCCAUCCUUGGGUGGAACCUGUGUGGCAUUAGGUUGUCGUGCAGGGGAUGCCCAUCAUUUACUGUGAAAAAAUUAGAGUGUUCAAAGCAGGCUUAUGCUGUUGAAUAUAUUAGCAUGGAAUAAUGAGAUAGGACUUUUUUGCUAUUUUGUUGGUUUGCGCAAGAAGGUAAUGAUUAAUAGGGACAGUUGGGGGUAUUCGUAUUCCAUUGUCAGAGGUGAAAUUCUUGGAUUUUUGGAAGACGAACUACUGCGAAAGCAUUUACCAAGGAUGUUUUCAUUAA